Molecule: long non-coding RNA, 5214 nt
Filed under: Ananas comosus (pineapple)
Lineage: Eukaryota; Viridiplantae; Streptophyta; Magnoliopsida; Poales; Bromeliaceae
Description: long non-coding RNA (ACOM_LNC029270)
Source: RNAcentral
UAGAUCGAGUGGCAUCCGACAAUGUAAAGUAAAGUGACACUAGAGUUAGUGUGUGUGGCAUCAAAGAGAAAUGUGACGUAAAGAAUAAUGAUAAUGAAUAGAGACAAGUAAAGAAAAUGAAAGUGGCAUAAAGAACGAGUAAAGUUAAAGAACAAUGAUUGCUAGAGUUAGCAAAAUAAAGUGAUGUAAAGAACACUAGAGUUAGUGUAAAGAUAAUGAUUGAACUAUAUAUCCUUAGAGUUAAGGAUCGAUCAUACUUGCUAUGAGUUCCAUGCUCGAGGGCGGUCGCUCCCCCUCGAGCGAUGCGCUCCGGAGUUUUGCAUCACGGGUUGGAGUCAACCCGAGGACGGUCUUAGCGGGAGGCAGCUGAGGGCCCGCGAUGAUGGACUUAAUGUGGGCAAGUUAAUGUGGCGAAACCCCCGGGUUAGCCGUGAGAUUAAAGAACAAAGAACAAAGAUUAAAGAAUAAAGAGUGAGGAACAAAGAACUUGCAUACUUGCAUGAUUUACGUUGAGCAUAUUUCUUGCUUUAUUGUUCAGGCAUAUUAGCAUCAUGAUUAUAGUUUGGUUACUAUUCUGUUUAUGCUUUCUAUUAUGCCUGAGUUAAUUCUAGUAGGAAAGUCGGUGAGAUUGGGGCCGAACCCAUUAGAAACUUUGUUGUAGUUCUCACCCCACUAUUCCACAGAGCCGGGACCGAGCGAGCUGGCGAGCGACCAUGGUAAAGGUAUCGCACCGUAGUCAGAGGCCACCAGAGUUGGGUUAUUUCAUAUUUUGAUAGUAGCUACCCUAUCGUCAUCUUUUGUACUUGAGGAUGUUUAAAGUAAAGAAAAAGAAUGUAAUGUUUAUUUUGGGCAGAUACGAUGUAAAAGAAAUAAAGCAAGUAAUGUAAAGAAUCAUGAAUAUAAAGGUUAAAUGCAAUGUAUGUGAUAAAAAGUUGAAUCAUAGUACUUGUGUAGUUGUUUAGUUUCCUUUCUUUCACUCAUGGCUAUUGCUUACCCUCGUGUAAGCCGUAUUUGUAUGUUUCCGCUAGUGCUUUUCUCUACUUGAAAAUGUACAGGUGGUGAGGCUUUGGCGGACAGGAGAAACUCUGUCCGUUCGGCGUUUGCUUGACGUGCCUGGGCCGGCCCAAAUUGGUAUCGUUCCCGGGGCGUGACAGAUAUUAUGGUAUCAGAACCUAGAGUUAAAGAAUAGGAAUGGACCUAGAGACCCUUAGGAUUAGAAGACCUUAAGGAUCUAGGAAACGUGAGUGACUUGGAAUCAAAGUUAGCGAAAGUAUAUGAUUGUGUCAAGUUCGGAUGUCUCUAAUGUGAUUAGAGGCUAAGUUUGAAUUGAUGUUCGUUUCCUACUCCUUGUUUUGUGUCGGGCGGCCGACGACAUAAUGCUUGGAGCGAGAACGAAUGCAUAAGUUGCUUUCGCCAAAUUCGGUAUGGUCAAGUAAUGUUGGUCAUGUAGCUAAUGCGAGUUGCUUCUUUUCAGGAAGCAAUGGCGCCUCGUCGUCGACCGCAGACAAGGUCGAUGCCUGAGGACCCGAAUGCAGCGCCCGAGCAAUCCGGAGCGAGUGGCGACGGAGAGCUUAGGGAGCAGAGUCAACGGCUCUAGGAGGUUUUGGAGCGUCAGCAAGCCGCCAGGUUGGUGUCGAGCAUGUCGCGCCCCCUGUGGUAGUGCCGAGCGUAACGAGGGAGCGGUGGCAGCAGCGGUUGUGCCAGUUACGGCAAUACCGGCCGGAUCAGGAACCUCAAAUCCCGAUAGUUCGGCAGCAGAUGCAAAGCGAGAGCGCAUGUUGGCGGCGCUUAUCCAGUUUCAGAAAUUCAACCCACUUGUCUUUGAAGGUGGCAUGGUGGAGCUAGCGGUUGUGGAGUCGUGGAUCGACUCGAUGGAAACGCUCUUCGAGGACCUAAAUACCUCGGAGAAGGACAAAGUGUACCUCGCCACCCAUUGUCUAGAGAAGGCGGCGAAGGUGUGGUGGAAACAAGUUAAGCGGGAUCGACUUGCCGAUCUUCCACUUAUGCUUUGGGAGGAGUUCAAGAGAGCGGUAUUCGCGAACUACUUCCCCUACACGGUGAAGCGGAGGUGGCAAGAAAAGUUCCGCAAGUUGCGACAGGGCGAUCGAUCGGUGGGGGAGUAUGAGCAAGAAUUCUCCUACAUUAUCGACUGCGUUCUCGAUGUUGUUUGAGAUGAUCGGGAUCGAGCUGAUUGGUUCUUACGAGGACUCCAGCCGAGGAUAUAUGAGAAUGUGCAGAUCUUGAAGCUAACGACCUUUGCGGAGGUCUUUGAUAGAGCCUUAUGGGCAGAGCACGGUAGCGCCCACGUUCGAGAGGAACGGGAGGCUAUGGCCGAGAGCAAGGACAAAGGCAAGAAGCGAACGGCGGGCGGUGCCGGGGGCCGGCCAAAUGCUAAGAAACCCCCUCGGUAUCCCCGAUAGCAGUCGAGGAAUUGGAGACCACCUCAAUGCAUCGUCUGUGGCGGAGAACACCGAGUGUCGAUGUGCCCGCAAGGCGGUGACAAAUGCUUUAAGUGUGGCCAACCGGGACAUCGCAUACGGGAGUGCCCGAUGUGGACAUCGUCUGCACCGGCGGCGGCAUCCUCACCGUCUACCCUGAGACAGCUUGCGGGGUUACCACCAGCGAUGUCGGCUGGGCGCGCGUCAUCACCGCGUCAGCCGAAGGGAUCAAGAGCGCCUAGCGGCUGAGUCUUUGCCGCUCAGGUGGAGGAGCAACAGCCUGCAGCACCCGACGACGUCGUGACAGGUAUAAUUGUGAUUAAAGGCAUUAGAGCUAGAGCAGUGUUUGAUACAGGCGCAUCUCAUUCAUUCAUUAGCGCAUCAUUUGCUCAAACUCAUGGCAUAGAGAUGGCAUAUAACGAGGACUACUGGUGGGUGAACGCCCCAGAACAUUCAUUAAGUAUCCACAAUGAGUGUUUGGCGUGUCCAGUGCAAAUAGGCGAUUGGAUUAUGCCGAUAGAUCUGCUAGUGCUAGAUCAGAUGUGGAGAUUUGAUGUUAUCUUGGGGACCAACUGGCUCUCCAAGUACUAUGCAGUUAUAGAUUGUGAAAGCAAGGUGAUCACUUUUCGUGAGCCUAAUCAAGAAGAAUUGGUGUACCAAGCGUGCAAAAGUAGGCGCUUCGCGGCGACCAUAUUGUCUGUAAGGGCGAAGAAGAUGAUCAAAGGAGGGUGUAAAGCCUAUUUGGCAACCAUGGUAGAUGCUCGAAAGGAGUACCCAGAGUUGGGGGAUAUUCGAGUAGUGUGCGAGUACCCGGAUGUAUUUCCGGCGGAGUUACCGGGAUUGCCACUGGACCGGGAGGUCGAGUUCGUUAUCGACUUGAUUCCCGGAGCGGAACCAGUUUCGAAGGCUCCGUAUAGAAUGGCACCGGUGGAGCUAAAGGAGUUGAAAGCACAACUACAAGACUUGCUCGAUAAAGGCUUCGUGAGGCCGAGCGUGUCACCGUGGGGAGCUCCGGUGCUAUUUGUGAAGAAAAAGGAUGGUACACUUCGACUCUGCGUAGACUAUCACGAGUUGAACAAAGUAACGAUUAAGAACAAGUACCCAUUGCCAAGGAUUGACGAUUUAUUCGAUCAGUUGCAAGGGUCCAAGGUGCAUUCGAAGAUUGAUCUCCAAUCGGGGUAUCAUCAUGUCACGCCCCAAUCUCCGCCUAUUUGGUCGGGUUCGGGCCACGUCAACAGACGCCGAACGGACAGAGCCUCCCCUGUCCGCCCAAGGCUCAAACAACAUGUAUAAAUAGGCAAUCAACAAGAGAUUUGCAUAUGUAAUACAAGGCUUGCACGAGGGCAAGCAACAAUGAAAGCGAAAGCUCUACGCUAAUUAAGCAACAUACAUGAUAUUUGAUUAGCAUUUAAACCAAAUUCAAGUAAAUCUAUUACAUUCUAGCAUCAUAUCUUUUUACAUUUAGUCAUCCACCAAAUACAUGAUUGUUUACACUUUUCAUUCCUAAAUCAACAAAAUAAAGUUGAUACAUGUAUAACAAAAGNGAAGAAGAAGAAAAGGAGAAAGAAGGUGAAGAAGAAGCUAAGGAGUGAAGCUAUCUCCUCUUCUUCCCCUUUGGAGCAAGCUUAGAGGUAAGCCUUGCCCCUUUUCAUGGUAAAUCCCAAACUAGGGUUUGGGUAAGCCUAGAAUUGGUUUUUAUAGAACCUUUAGAGUAUUUGAAGCUUUCUUUUGCUUCUUAUAGAGAUCAACACCAUGAGUUGGGUGUGUGUGAUGAAGCUUAGAGGUGAGCUUCACCCCUCUCAUGGUAGAAUCCAAACUAGGGUUUGAAUUAAGCCAAGGUGGUUUUUGUGGAGUCUUUAGAGUGGAAUGAAGCUUCUUUUGCUUCCCAAUGAGAUCAACCCCUAGGUUUGAUAUAUGCUAUUGAGCUAGGGCACCCAAAUUGGGGUUUUUGCUUGCGAGGGUUCCAAAGUGAAAUUGACCCUCUAGAAACCUAAUUGGGGGUAUUUCCGACGCAUUGGUGUGCUCGGAUUAACGUUACGAAAAGCCAAUGUAAAGAUAUGAGCAAAAUGGCCUAAUAGGGCUUCGUUUUGCCGCAGGUGACAAACUAAGGAGCCCAAGAAAAUCACCGGAGCACCUAAGUCUACAAGGUGGGUGGUGCUUUCCAAACUCGUUGAACUUCCUUCUAUGCCUAAUGUGUCAUUCAAUUGAGCAUAUGUUAUAUAUAUUGUUGCAUGCAUUGUAGGGUAAAUGUGAUGAGAGUAAUGUGAUGUUGCAUAUUGUGAGUACAAUUUGCCUAAUGAGAUGGUUGAGAACUCCUAUGAAUUUUUAACCCUAUGUAUGCAUGAGAUAAAAUGUGAGCACCAAAGUGAGGCAAAAGAACAGAGUGACACAAUGAGACAUAGAUCGAAUGGCAUUCGAUAAUGUAAAGUAAAGUGACACUAGAGUUAGUGUGAGGCAAGAAUCAAUGUGAUGUAAAGAGUAAUGACAAUGACUAAAGUUAAUGUAAUGUGGGGCAUAAAGAACAUGCAAAGAGUAAAGCACACGAUUGCUAGAGAUAGCCAAAAGUAAAGAAAUGUAAAGAACCAUGAUUGCUAGAGUAGCAACAUAAAGUGAUGAAAAGAAUACUAGAGUUAGUGUAAUGACAUGAUUGAACCUAUAAUCCUUAGAGUUAAGGAUUCGAUCAUACUUGCUAUGAGUUCCGUGCUCGAGGGUGGUCGCUCCCCCUAGAGCGAUGCGCUCCGGAGUUUUUGCAUCACGGGUUGGAGUAAACCCGAGG